Molecule: ribosomal RNA, 432 nt
Filed under: uncultured bacterium
Lineage: Bacteria
Description: partial 16S ribosomal RNA
Rfam family: Bacterial small subunit ribosomal RNA
Source: RNAcentral
ACGAACGCUGGCGGCAGGCCUCACCCCUGCCAGUCGCGCGCGCCCUUCGGGGUGAGCGGCGGACGGGUGAGUAACGCGUGGGAACGUGCCCUUCUCUGCGGAAUAGCCUCGGGAAACUGAGAGUAAUACCGCAUACGCCCUUUGGGGGAAAGAUUUAUCGGAGAAGGAUCGGCCCGCGUUGGAUUAGGUAGUUGGUGGGGUAAUGGCCCACCAAGCCGACGAUCCAUAGCUGGUUUGAGAGGAUGAUCAGCCACACUGGGACUGAGACACGGCCCAGACUCCUACGGGAGGCAGCAGUGGGGAAUCUUAGACAAUGGGGGCAACCCUGAUCUAGCCAUGCCGCGUGAGUGAUGAAGGCCUUAGGGUUGUAAAGCUCUUUCAGCUGGGAAGAUAAUGACGGUACCAGCAGAAGAAGCCCCGGCUAACUCCGUG